Molecule: non-coding RNA, 74 nt
Organism: Paramuricea clavata
Lineage: Eukaryota; Metazoa; Cnidaria; Anthozoa; Malacalcyonacea; Plexauridae
Source: the annotation of a GenBank genome assembly
UGCAGUUUGUGAUGAAAGUGUUGUCGCCCCAGUCUGAUACAACGUGACUGAUUGACAAUCAUUUCUGAAAUGAC